CAGUAGCCACGGUAAUACGUAGGGUGCGAGCGUUAAUCGGAAUUACUGGGCGUAAAGCGUGCGCAGGCGGUUCGUUAAGACAGAUGUGAAAUCCCCGGGCUUAACCUGGGAACUGCAUUUGUGACUGGCGAGCUAGAGUAUGGCAGAGGGGGGUAGAAUUCCACGUGUAGCAGUGAAAUGCGUAGAGAUGUGGAGGAAUACCGAUGGCGAAGGCAGCCCCCUGGGCCAAUACUGACGCUCAUGCACGAAAGCGUGGGGAGCAGACAGGAUUAGAUACCCCAGUAGUCCCUGUCUCUUAUAC
RNAcentral lists this ribosomal RNA (301 nucleotides) under uncultured bacterium. Its description in RNAcentral is "partial 16S ribosomal RNA". It matches the Rfam family "Bacterial small subunit ribosomal RNA", at positions 509 to 807 of the family's 1533-position model. The record is from RNAcentral.